GCCCUGAUAGCUCAAUGGUAGAGCUUUGGUUCAGAAAUCCAAAGUCCAGUGGUUCGAUCCCCGUCCAGGACA
This is a non-coding RNA of Phytophthora infestans T30-4, 72 nucleotides long. NCBI's taxonomy places the organism in Eukaryota, Oomycota, Peronosporomycetes, Peronosporales, Peronosporaceae. The record is from the annotation of a RefSeq genome assembly.